Molecule: RNA transcript, 3105 nt
Organism: Pan troglodytes (chimpanzee)
Lineage: Eukaryota; Metazoa; Chordata; Mammalia; Primates; Hominidae
Gene: NOL10
Gene name: nucleolar protein 10
Exons: 23
Source: RefSeq, a predicted model, not a curated record
UCCAGGAAGUGCGUCAUCAGUCGGCGCCAGCGGUCGCACGCCGCGGAGCAGGGGCUCGGAGGUCCCGGGAUUACGGUGCUCGAGCACGCUGGUGGGAAAGGACCCGGGACUUGAACAGUGUUGUGCGGCGCCAUGCAGGUCUCCAGCCUCAAUGAGGUGAAGAUUUACAGCCUCAGCUGCGGCAAGUCCCUUCCUGAGUGGCUUUCUGAUAGGAAGAAGAGAGCGCUACAGAAGAAAGAUGUAGAUGUCCGUAGGAGAAUUGAACUUAUUCAGGACUUUGAAAUGCCUACUGUGUGUACCACUAUUAAGGUGUCAAAAGAUGGACAGUACAUUUUAGCAACUGGAACAUAUAAACCUCGGGUUCGAUGUUAUGACACCUAUCAAUUAUCCUUGAAGUUUGAAAGGUGUUUAGAUUCAGAAGUUGUCACCUUUGAAAUUUUGUCUGAUGACUACUCAAAGUAUGUAAGGUUUGCAGAAAAGCUAUCAGGAUACAGGAAGGCAUUAAGGAGCCGAUGGAGCGUUUUCAUUCUUAAUCCCAGUGGAGUGUGUGUGCAUGGACAUGUGUGUUUAGAUACAGAAAGUGAGAGAGAGAUUGUCUUCUUACAUAAUGAUAGAUACAUUGAAUUUCAUUCGCAAUCAGGUUUUUACUACAAAACCAGAAUACCAAAGUUUGGGAGAGAUUUCUCUUACCACUAUCCAUCCUGUGACUUGUACUUUGUUGGUGCAAGUUCUGAAGUUUAUAGGUUAAACUUAGAACAAGGACGAUACCUGAAUCCUCUACAAACUGAUGCUGCGGAGAAUAAUGUUUGUGACAUAAAUUCAGUGCAUGGCUUGUUUGCCACAGGAACCAUAGAGGGUAGAGUGGAGUGCUGGGACCCAAGAACUCGAAACAGAGUUGGCCUGUUAGACUGCGCCUUAAACAGUGUCACAGCAGAUUCAGAGAUAAACAGUUUACCAACAAUCUCUGCUUUGAAAUUUAAUGGUGCCUUGACCAUGGCAGUUGGAACAACCACAGGGCAGGUUUUAUUAUAUGACCUUCGAUCUGAUAAGCCAUUGCUAGUUAAAGAUCACCAGUAUGGGCUGCCCAUUAAGUCCGUUCAUUUCCAGGAUUCAUUAGAUCUGAUUUUGUCUGCUGACUCUCGAAUUGUCAAGAUGUGGAAUAAGAACUCCGGAAAAAUAUUUACUUCCUUGGAGCCAGAGCACGACCUUAAUGAUGUUUGUCUCUACCCCAACUCAGGCAUGCUUCUGACGGCCAAUGAAACCCCCAAGAUGGGCAUCUAUUACAUUCCAGUUUUGGGUCCUGCUCCUCGGUGGUGUUCCUUCUUAGACAACUUGACCGAAGAAUUAGAAGAGAAUCCAGAAAGCACAGUCUAUGAUGAUUAUAAAUUUGUCACCAAGAAAGACCUUGAAAAUUUAGGGCUCACCCACCUCAUUGGAUCUCCUUUCCUCCGGGCGUAUAUGCAUGGGUUUUUCAUGGAUAUAAGACUCUAUCACAAGGUGAAACUGAUGGUAAAUCCAUUUGCUUAUGAAGAAUAUAGGAAAGAUAAAAUACGACAGAAAAUAGAAGAAACACGUGCACAGAGAGUCCAGUUAAAGAAAUUGCCAAAAGUUAACAAAGAGCUGGCACUUAAAUUAAUUGAAGAAGAAGAGGAGAAGCAGAAAUCUACAUGGAAAAAGAAAGUUAAGAGUCUUCCUAAUAUUCUCACCGAUGAUCGAUUUAAAGUUAUGUUUGAGAACCCUGACUUCCAAGUAGAUGAAGAGAGUGAAGAAUUUAGGCUUCUGAAUCCACUUGUUUCAAAAAUUAGUGAAAAAAGGAAGAAGAAACUAAGACUCUUAGAGCAACAAGAACUUCGUGAAAAAGAAGAGGAGGAAGAGCCGGAAGGAAAACCAAGUGAUGCAGAAAGUUCGGAGAGUUCAGAUGAUGAAAAAGCCUGGGUUGAAGAGGUCAGGAAGCAACGCAGACUCCUCCAGCAGGAGGAAAAAGUGAAGCGGCAGGAACGACUCAAGGAGGACCAGCAGACAGUCCUAAAGCCCCAGUUUUAUGAGAUCAAAGCAGGAGAAGAAUUUAGAAGCUUCAAAGAUUCUGCCACAAAGCAGAAACUGAUGAACAAAACCCUUGAAGAUCGUUUGAAAAUUGAAGCAAAAAAUGGGACAUUGAGUGUAUCUGACACCACCGUUGGCAGCAAACAAUUGACAUUCACGUUAAAGAGGGAGUGCUGGAGGCUGUGGUGAAGUAGUCGGGAAGAGAAGGCAGAAACACCCAGGAGAAGCGCUAAUGGCCCAUAGAUCCCAUCCUCCUGAAUGCGCCACGUGGCGGCAAGGCCUUCCAGAUGCAGCCUUGGGAGAGAGGCUAGUCAUAGUCCUUUUUCUGCAUGGAAAUUUGUCUGCAGAACAAUAGUCACUGCUUACAAGCUCCUCUCGAAGCUCCUACCUUGGUGGAGAAAGUCUGGCAGAGCUUCCCAAAAUGUGUUCCAGGAGAUGUAAAUGGUGACUCUGGAAGAUUACUUUUGCCAUCAGACAGAUAAGGGAAAAACCUUGGACUGAUGUCCAUGUUGAAGACUUAUGAAGUCUGAACAGCAGAAGAAGCAACAGGAGGCUGAGAAACUGCAUCGACAAGAAAGGAAAAGACUCCGUCGUUCGGCCGGACACCUGAAGUCAAGACACAAAAGAGGACGGUCGUUUCAUUGAUUUGGGAAGUGGUCCUACCUGUGAUUAGGGAGGGGUACGUCUCCCCCAAACUGAUCAUCGUUAGGGUGUUAAACACAGACGAGGAAACACACGUUUUUAAAGUUCAUGUACUUUCUUGUACACAGAGGUAAAGGUUUGAAAACCUGUGCCUUGUGGAUUGGACUUUGAAGCUGGCCCCGCCGACGGCCACCGCAUAGCCCCAAGGGUGUGCUUGCAAGUCGUUGCUCCUUGGAAACAUUGUCCUUUCCCCAUGGCUUUAAUCAUGAAAACCAGGUUGGGGUUUUUUUUAAUAUUGUGAAAUGUACACCAUGAAAUGAAAGGUUUAUGCUGUGCUAGAAACCAAGGUUUAUCAUGCUCUAGGAACUUUUUUCUUGCACUGUCUACUGCCAUUCAUGAUUAAACCAUCCAGAAAUACCA